RNAcentral lists this ribosomal RNA (302 nucleotides) under uncultured bacterium. Its description in RNAcentral is "bacterial SSU rRNA". It matches the Rfam family "Bacterial small subunit ribosomal RNA", at positions 28 to 342 of the family's 1533-position model. The record is from RNAcentral.
GAUAAACGCUGGCGGCGUGCCUAACACAUGCAAGUCGAACGCCCUUUUGCGCAAGUGAGAGGGAGUGGCGGACGGGUGAGUACCACGUGGGUACCUACCUUGAGGUGAGGAAUACCACCGAGAAAUCGGUGACAAGACCGCAUACGCUCGGGCAACCGAGCAAAGUCAUGCAAAUGACGCCACAAGAUGAGCCUGCGCCUGAUUAGCUGGUUGGUGAGGAACAGCUCACCAAGGCGACGAUCAGUAGCUGGUCUGAGAGGAUGAUCAGCCACACUGGGAUUGAGAACGGCCCAGACUCCUAC